UUCCAGCCGCGUUGUCUUUGUAAACCAACACCACCUAUAUACAAGGCCUCUCCACUGAAGUCAUGACGUCAUCACUAGUAGGCCAUUUGUCGUUCAGUCUUGUAAUGUAAAACGCGAAUUUUUGAACAGUGUAGUGCGUUUUAGUAAUAAUUUUUUGUUGUGGAUAGUUGCUGAAUGCCUGUAUUAUUGAGCAAUGCCUUUCAAAUGUUGUGUGCCAAAUUGUAAUGGCAAUUACAAAAAUGGGCCAAAGGUUGCAACGUUUUCUUUUCCAAAAAAUGAAGAAAUAAAAAAAAAAUGGUUACGUGCUAUUUGUCGACAGAAUUUUUGUCCUACAAAUAGUUCUAAAGUAUGCGAAUUACAUUUUCACUCUUACGAUAUUGAACGAGAAACGAGCCAUUAUAAUGAAGCUAAUGGGAAAUUGUUAACUGCUCCAUUGCGACAUCCACGUUUAAUUAAAAACGCUGUUCCAAGUCAGUUGCUAUACAAUCCUCAAUACUUAACAGAAA
Linepithema humile (Argentine ant) is the source of this 506-nucleotide non-coding RNA. Lineage: Eukaryota; Metazoa; Arthropoda; Insecta; Hymenoptera; Formicidae. The record is from RefSeq and is a predicted model, not a curated record.